AAGGCUAUGAACCUUUUCUUCUGGGAAGAGGGGAGCCAUCAGUGAGAUACCACUCUUGGUAAGCUAGAGCGCUCAGUCUUCACCGUCAUCCGGUAAGACGACAGUUUCAGGCGGGCAGUUUGACUGGGGCAGUCACCUCCCAAAAGGUAAUGGAGGUGUGCAAAGGUUCCCUCAGGCUGGACGGAAAUCAGCCAUAGAGUGUAAAAGCAAAAGGGAGCUUGACUGCGAGACUGACAUGUCAAGCAGAGACGAAAGUCGGCUUUAGUGAUCCGACGGUGCUGUGUGAAAAGGCCGUCGCUCAACGGAUAAAAGUUACUCUAGGGAUAAC
This 328-nucleotide ribosomal RNA is filed under the name uncultured eukaryote. RNAcentral describes it as "LSU rRNA". It matches the Rfam family "Bacterial large subunit ribosomal RNA", at positions 2151 to 2478 of the family's 2925-position model. The record is from RNAcentral.